GCGUGCCUACGGGACGCAGCAGUAGGGAAUCUUCCACAAUGGGCGAAAGCCUGAUGGGGCAACGCCGCGUGGGUGAAGAAGGUCUUCGGAUCGUAAAACCCUGUUGUUAGAGAAGAAAGUGCGUGAGAGUAACUGUUCACAUUUCGACGGUAUCUAACCAGAAAGCCACGGCUAACUACGUGCCAGCAGCCGCGGUAAUACGUAGGUGGCAAGCGUUAUCCGGAUUUAUUCGGCGUAAAGG
Molecule: ribosomal RNA, 241 nt
Filed under: uncultured bacterium
Lineage: Bacteria
Description: partial 16S ribosomal RNA
Rfam family: Bacterial small subunit ribosomal RNA
Source: RNAcentral